This 403-nucleotide ribosomal RNA is filed under the name uncultured bacterium. Its description in RNAcentral is "partial 16S ribosomal RNA". It matches the Rfam family "Bacterial small subunit ribosomal RNA", at positions 30 to 526 of the family's 1533-position model. The record is from RNAcentral.
AUUGAACGCUAGCGGCAUGCCUAACACAUGCAAGUCGAGCGAGCGGCGGACGGGUGAGUAAUGUAUAGGUACUACCAGCGAGAGGGAGAUAACUACUGGAGACGGUAACUAAUACCGCAUACUAUCGGAUAACCCAUAUGGGAUUAGCUAGUAGGUGAGGUAAUGGCUCACCAAGGCGACGAUCCCUAGCUGGUCUGAAAGGAUGAUCAGCCACACUGGGACUGAGACACGGUCCAGACUCCUACGGAGGCAGCAGUGGGGAAUAUUGCACAAUGGGCGCAAGCCUGAUGCAGCCAUGCCGCGUGUAUGAAGAAGGCCCUAGGGUUGUAAAGUACUUUCAGUAGGGAGGCGUUACCUACAGAAGAAGCACCGGCUAACUCCGUGCCAGCAGCCGCGGUAAUAC